CGGAUAGGCAACCAAUAAAGCCACAAACUCUCAAUCAACUCUUCUUGUUCCUCAUAAACUCAGUGAUCAAAAGUCCAAACUACAGAUCUGAUAAAGACCCCUUCUUGGAAUUCUUUUCUUAAUUUUCUGUUUUUGGAAUCAAAACCCAGCUAGAUAUACAAUAAAGCCCCCCUAGAGCAUCAUUUCCCAUAGACUAAAAAAAAAUAACUGUCAAAUACUAAUUGUGCUUAAUUUUACUAUAUUUGAUCAUUGGUCAUGAAACGAGGAUACUCUGAUUCUCCGUCAACCUCUGCUGGUGAUGGCCCACCUAAGUCAAGAGUCAAAUAUACACCUGAAGGUGAUGCACAUUUUUCUGAGGAUUUUGUUCAAAAGGUAGCUGACCAUUACAGUGCGAGGACAAA
RNAcentral lists this unclassified non-coding RNA (401 nucleotides) under Hevea brasiliensis (rubber tree). The record is from RNAcentral. Lineage: Eukaryota; Viridiplantae; Streptophyta; Magnoliopsida; Malpighiales; Euphorbiaceae.